CCGCGAUCUGGCCCGCCUUCUUGGGGAAGGCCUGCUCGUAGCGCGCCCCGAUGGCGUCGAAGGCCGCUACCUGGUCGGUGCGGUCCGUCACCGCGGCCC
RNAcentral lists this transfer RNA (99 nucleotides) under Streptomyces sulfonofaciens. Its description in RNAcentral is "tRNA-Thr". Lineage: Bacteria; Bacillati; Actinomycetota; Actinomycetes; Kitasatosporales; Streptomycetaceae. The record is from RNAcentral.